RNAcentral lists this unclassified non-coding RNA (248 nucleotides) under uncultured fungus. RNAcentral's name for it is "partial contains 5.8S ribosomal RNA, internal transcribed spacer 2, and large subunit ribosomal RNA". Lineage: Eukaryota; Fungi. The record is from RNAcentral.
AACGCACAUUGCGCCCAUUAGUAUUCUAGUGGGCAUGCCUGUUCGAGCGUCAUUUCGACCAUUAAGCCCUAGUUGCUUAGCGUUGGGACUUUACAGCGAUGUAAUUCCUUAAAAUUAGUGGCGGAGUUGGAUCAAACUCUAAGCGUAGUAAUUUUUCCUCGCUUCUGUAGUUGGCCCGGCCCCUGCCGUAAAACCCCCUAUUUUUUAUGGUUGACCUCGGAUCAGGUAGGAAUACCCGCUGAACUUAA